This 108-nucleotide small nuclear RNA is filed under the name Jaculus jaculus (lesser Egyptian jerboa). The record is from RNAcentral. Lineage: Eukaryota; Metazoa; Chordata; Mammalia; Rodentia; Dipodidae.
GUUCUGGCUUCAGCAGCACAUAUACUAAAAUUAGAACUACUCGGAGAAGAAUAUAGCAUGGCCCCUGCACAAGAUGACCCACAAAUUUGUGAAGUGUAAAAACUAAAU